This 110-nucleotide unclassified non-coding RNA is filed under the name Oryza sativa (Asian cultivated rice). RNAcentral's name for it is "partial microRNA MIR488 precursor". Lineage: Eukaryota; Viridiplantae; Streptophyta; Magnoliopsida; Poales; Poaceae. The record is from RNAcentral.
UGAGAGAGGUCCCAGCCCCCGUCACUGGAUCCAUGAUCAGAACCCCUCAAUCCGGGCCACACCAUGGACCCCACUGAUGGGGCUAACGGGAUAUAGAGCACUACCUCUCU